RNAcentral lists this ribosomal RNA (492 nucleotides) under uncultured bacterium. RNAcentral's name for it is "partial 16S ribosomal RNA". It matches the Rfam family "Bacterial small subunit ribosomal RNA", at positions 29 to 507 of the family's 1533-position model. The record is from RNAcentral.
AGUGAACGCUGGCGGUAGGCCUAACACAUGCAAGUCGGACGGCAGCACAGUAAGAGCUUGCUCUUACGGGUGGCGAGUGGCGGACGGGUGAGGAAUACAUCGGAAUCUACUUUUUCGUGGGGGAUAACGUAGGGAAACUUACGCUAAUACCGCAUACGACCUACGGGUGAAAGCAGGGGAUCUUCGGACCUUGCGCGAUUGAAUGAGCCGAUGUCGGAUUAGCUAGUUGGCGGGGUAAAGGCCCACCAAGGCGACGAUCCGUAGCUGGUCUGAGAGGAUGAUCAGCCACACUGGAACUGAGACACGGUCCAGACUCCUACGGGAGGCAGCAGUGGGGAAUAUUGGACAAUGGGCGCAAGCCUGAUCCAGCCAUACCGCGUGGGUGAAGAAGGCCUUCGGGUUGUAAAGCCCUUUUGUUGGGAAAGAAAAGCAGCAGGUUAAUACCCCGCUGUUCUGACGGUACCCAAAGAAUAAGCACCAGCUAACUUCGUG